CCCCUGGACGAAGACUGACGCUCAGGUGCGAAAGCGUGGGGAGCAAACAGGAUUAGAUACCCUGGUAGUCCACGCCGUAAACGAUGUCGACUUGGAGGUUGUGCCCUUGAGGCGUGGCUUCCGGAGCUAACGCGUUAAGUCGACCGCCUGGGGAGUACGGCCGCAAGGUUAAAACUCAAAUGAAUUGACGGGGGCCCGCACAAGCGGUGGAGCAUGUGGUUUAAUUCGAUGCAACGCGAAGAACCUUACCUGGUCUUGACAUCCACGGAAGUUUUCAGAGAUGAGAAUGUGCCUUCGGGAACCGUGAGACAGGUGCUGCAUGGCUGUCGUCAGCUCGUGUUGUGAAAUGUUGGGUUAAGUCCCGCAACGAGCGCAACCCUUAUCCUUUGUUGCCAGCGGUCCGGCCGGGAACUCAAAGGAGACUGCCAGUGAUAAACUGGAGGAAGGUGGGGAUGACGUCAAGUCAUCAUGGCCCUUACGACCAGGGCUACACACGUGCUACAAUGGCGCAUACAAAGAGAAGCGAUCUCGCGAGAGCAAGCGGACCUCAUAAAGUGCGUCGUAGUCCGGAUUGGAGUCUGCAACUCGACUCCAUGAAGUCGGAAUCGCUAGUAAUCGUGGAUCAGAAUGCCACGGUGAAUACGUUCCCGGGCCUUGUACACACCGCCCGUCACACCAUGGGAGUGGGUUGCAAAAGAAGUAGGUAGCUUAACCUUCGGGAGGGCGCUUACCACUUUGUGAUUCAUGACUGGGGUGAAGUCGUAACAAGGUAACCGUAGGGGAACCUGCGGUUGGAUCACCUCCUUA
Molecule: ribosomal RNA, 807 nt
Filed under: Escherichia coli
Lineage: Bacteria; Pseudomonadati; Pseudomonadota; Gammaproteobacteria; Enterobacterales; Enterobacteriaceae
Description: bacterial SSU rRNA
Rfam family: Bacterial small subunit ribosomal RNA
Source: RNAcentral